Molecule: non-coding RNA, 1004 nt
Filed under: Pan troglodytes (chimpanzee)
Lineage: Eukaryota; Metazoa; Chordata; Mammalia; Primates; Hominidae
Source: RNAcentral
GGCUGUCCACUGUCCCAAGCCCUCGCAUGUCCUGGAUGGCCGGUCAUCAUCCACACGGGGGCUGAAAGGCCCGGCUCCAGCACUCCUGUGGUCAUCAUCCUGCUGAAUCACUUUGAACUACCCUUGGCCUAACCGCGACUCCCAUCCCGCUUCCCUCCUGCCUCGCCACUGCAGGCCUGUCCCUUUGCUUUCUUAAAACUGCGCACCGUCUGAGGCCACUUCGAGCCUACUGGAUCCCUGGUUCCGACCCAGUAGGAUCACAGAAGCAGGGCCAGCUGCCAGGCUUCUGCAAAAGACUUGAGACAGCUCACAAUGAAGUACUCUGUAUUAGGCAGGGUAAUAUUGAUUGCAAGUGACAGAAACCCAAUCAGAAACUCACUGGAGUCAUGAGGAACACUUAUUGGCUCAGAGUAAAGGCAUGGACCUUCAGAGAAAUAAAGUCUGGGAAAUUGACUAGAUCCUCACUGAAAGAACUACUAAAGGAUGUACUUAUGGAAGAAGAAAAUUACAAAGUGAAAGAACUGGGAUGCAAGAAGUAAUGGUGAGCAUGGAAUUUGGCAAAGAUUCAAGUAAAACAAAGCAAGGAGUGAAUAUAUAAAAUCAUAAUCAUAACAAAUUUUGACUAUUAUAUGUAACAGCCAAUCUCUUAACUGGGUCAUAAUAAGAAAGUGAAAGGCAGAAAAAAUGACAAAAAGAAUAAUUAGAAUGUUAAUAAGAAGAGUAACAAGAUUUUGAAAAAUUUGUGCUGGUUGAUAUCAACUUUUGGCACUUUUCUCUUUUUCUAUACUGUUAACAUAAUUAAUGAAAAAAUAAUAAUUCAUACUUCAAAAAAUUUAAGAAGUUGCACAUAUUUUCAUUUGAAAUAGUAUAAGCAUUUUACAAAUGUUAUUUUAAGCUUUAAAAAGUGAGUAAAAUUAAUAACCAAAUGGUGGAAGCAACCCAAGUAUCCAUCAAUAGAUGAAUGAAUAAACGAAAGGUAGUAUGUUUAUACAAUGGAAUAUUAU